Molecule: ribosomal RNA, 160 nt
Filed under: Paenibacillus polymyxa
Lineage: Bacteria; Bacillati; Bacillota; Bacilli; Caryophanales; Paenibacillaceae
Description: partial 16S ribosomal RNA
Rfam family: Bacterial small subunit ribosomal RNA
Source: RNAcentral
UAGGGAAUCUUCCGCAAUGGGCGAAAGCCUGACGGAGCAACGCCGCGUGAGUGAUGAAGGUUUUCGGAUCGUAAAGCUCUGUUGCCAGGGAAGAACGUCCUGUAGAGUAACUGCUACAAGAGUGACGGUACCUGAGAAGAAAGCCCCGGCUAACUACGUG